GGGCCGCUGGUGCGCAUGUGCCCCGCCGGCGCCCCAGAGUCUCGCCGGUGCCUAUACUAACGCCCGCGCGGCCUCUGGUAGUCGCCAGUUCCCUUGCGCGAGCCUGCCCGUCAGGACGCCCUCCUCAGGUGCAUAUUGCCCCACGCGACACCCAAUUACGACAUGCGCCUUUCAAGAAUGUCUAAUCAGCCAUCCAUUGCAAUCCUCUUAAUAAAAUAUAGAUCCGAUCACGAUGAAGCGCGACGCGUACGGCGACGACGGGCCCGCCAUGAAGCGGCACCGCCAGCCGGAUGACGAAGUGACCUUCCUCAUACCCAGCAAGGUGGCUGGCUCUAUCAUCGGUAAAGGAGGCACCAACAUAUCAAAAUUGAGAAGCCAGUACAAAGCCUCUAUAACAGUCCCAGAUUGCCCCGGCCCCGAACGGGUGCUCUCCAUAGCGGCACCGGAAGUGGAGACGAUUUUGGAUAUUGUGAAAGAUAUCCUUCCCAAUUUGGCUGAUGCGGGUGGCCCGCAUAAGGGAGGAAACAGCGAUGAAGAUCUCGAUGUCCGUCUACUGAUCCACCAGAGUCGAGCGGGUUGCGUGAUCGGCAAAGCAGGCGCCAAGAUUAAGGAAUUGCGAGAGAAAACUGGUGCUCGUCUGAAGAUAUUCUCAAACCCGGCGCCGCAGAGCACGGAGCGCGUGGUGCAGCUGGUCGGCGGGCCCGAGGCCGUCGCCGCCGCCGUGCGCGAGGUGCUCGACCUAGUGCGAGAGGUGCCCAUCAAAGGAGCCAUGCAAAAUUACGACCCCCACAACUACGACGACUACUACGCUGACGAAUACGGCGGCUUCGGCAACGGCCAGGGCGGGGGCCCGCGCGGCGGCCCCGGCCGAGGAGGCCCGCCCCGCGGCGCGCCCCCGCCGCGCGGCCUGCCGCCCCCGGGCCGCGGGCCGCCGCCGCGCGGGGGCCCGCCCAUGGGUCGCGGCGGCCCGCCCGGCCCUCGCGGCGGCUUCAACGACUUCUCCGGCCCCGGCGGACCCGGAGGCCCGGGCCCUAGGACCAACUUUAACGGCCCGCCUCGCGGCGGCAACUUCGCCGGCGGAAACUUUGGUGGGGGCGGCGGCGGCGGCGGCGGCAACUUUGGCGGUCGCGGUGGCGGCGGCGGCAACUUCGGCGGCGGCGGCGGCAACUUCGGUGGCGACAACAACCAACAGGAGACUACCACUCAGGUCACCAUUCCCAAAGACUUGGCCGGCGCGAUAAUCGGCAAGGCGGGGUCGCGCAUCCGCAAGAUCCGCGCGGACUCGGGCGCCGGCAUCGAGAUCGCGGAGCCGCUGCCCGGCUCCAACGACCGCAUCAUCACCAUCACGGGCACGCCGGCGCGCAUACAGACCGCGCAGUAUCUCUUGCAGCAGAGAAUGUUUGAAGAGUUCCCUGAGUUGGCACCAAACAAGUCUAAGAUAAAGUAGCCUUUCCUAAUCGGCCUCGACUGAGACGUCGUUGUCGUUUCAAGACAGGUGUGUCAACUAACGGGAGUCGUCUGCCGUGCGUUGUAUGGAAGACUAGUGAUUUUGUUGUUUGAUUCAGUAACAAAAAAUCACCAGUCUGCCUACAAAGUACCGGUGCCAUCUUCGGACCAAGAGCUUCUUCAUGCUGUCACUUGCCUUUAAUUCUACUAACUUGUUGUUCACGAGAGCAACCCGAGCCUGGGUGGCGGCCGAGGCAACUUCUGAUUGCAGUCUUCUUCUCGUCCGUAAGAAGUGCAACUCUAUUGCAGCUUUACUGAUCCACCUCAACACCAAUAAUGUACAAUAUAAGGCCGUGAGGCUCGCGUGACACUUUUCAGUAAUGUAUUUACAGAGUGAAUUACAAUAUAAUGAUUAAUGUAAGAGGAAUGCAUUUAUCGUAAUUUAUAUAUUAUAUAUAAUAAAUUUUACUAAGAUCGUGUCAAUAAUUUGAUGGGAAUUUGUUACAUCGAUUGUAUUUUUAAGUAAAUAGAACUAGAAUUAAUAAAGUUUAUUUUGCAAA
Molecule: RNA transcript, 2006 nt
Organism: Cydia amplana
Lineage: Eukaryota; Metazoa; Arthropoda; Insecta; Lepidoptera; Tortricidae
Gene: HnRNP-K
Gene name: heterogeneous nuclear ribonucleoprotein K
Exons: 13
Source: RefSeq, a predicted model, not a curated record